This 421-nucleotide ribosomal RNA is filed under the name uncultured Cytophagia bacterium. RNAcentral describes it as "bacterial SSU rRNA". It matches the Rfam family "Bacterial small subunit ribosomal RNA", at positions 353 to 772 of the family's 1533-position model. The record is from RNAcentral. Lineage: Bacteria; Pseudomonadati; Bacteroidota; Cytophagia.
AGUAGGGAAUAUUGGGCAAUGGACGCAAGUCUGACCCAGCCAUGCCGCGUGCAGGAUGAAGGCCUUCUGGGUUGUAAACUGCUUUUAUCUAGGAAGAAAAAACUCCUGCGGGAGGAACUGACGGUACUAGAUGAAUAAGCACCGGCUAACUCCGUGCCAGCAGCCGCGGUAAUACGGAGGGUGCAAGCGUUGUCCGGAUUUAUUGGGUUUAAAGGGUGCGUAGGCGGCCUUAUAAGUCAGUGGUGAAAGCCCAUCGCUCAACGAUGGAACUGCCAUUGAUACUGUAAGGCUUGAGUACAGACGAGGUAGGCGGAAUUGAUGGUGUAGCGGUGAAAUGCAUAGAUACCAUCAAGAACACCGAUUGCGUAGGCAGCUUACUAGGCUGUAACUGACGCUGAGGCACGAAAGCGUGGGGAGCGAA